CCUACGGGUGGCAGCAGUGAGGAAUAUUGGUCAAUGGGCUUACGCCUGAACCAGCCAAGUCGCGUGAGGGAAGACUGCCCUAUGGGUUGUAAACCUCUUUUGUCAGGGAGCAACGCCGACUACGUGUAGCCGGACUGAGAGUACCUGAAGAAAAAGCAUCGGCUAACUCCGUGCCAGCAGCCGCGGUAAUACGGAGGAUGCGAGCGUUAUCCGGUUUUAUUGGGUUUAAAGGGUGCGUAGGCGGAAUGCCAAGUCAGGGGUAAAAUCGCGGGGCUCAACCUCGCUCCGCCGUUGAAACUGGCGUUCUGGGGUGGGCGAGAGGUAGGCGGAAUGCGUGGUGAAGCGGUGAAAUGCAUAGAUAGCACGCAGAACUCCGAUUGCGAGGCAGCAUACCGGCGCCCAACUGACGCUGAAGCACGAAAGCGUGGGUAUCGAACAGGAUUAGAUACCCGAGUAGUC
This 459-nucleotide ribosomal RNA is filed under the name uncultured bacterium. Its description in RNAcentral is "partial 16S ribosomal RNA". It matches the Rfam family "Bacterial small subunit ribosomal RNA", at positions 338 to 795 of the family's 1533-position model. The record is from RNAcentral.